This 28-nucleotide non-coding RNA is filed under the name Mus musculus (house mouse). The record is from RNAcentral. Lineage: Eukaryota; Metazoa; Chordata; Mammalia; Rodentia; Muridae.
UGAUGACAAACCUGACUACUCCUACCUG